CCCAGUUGGAGAAAAAAAAAGUUAGAUAGCGGCUAACUUGGGGAAUGAACUUCGACGUCAGGGAAAAACCAUCACCAGUAUGAAAUGUCAGAGAUCAGAUCUCGCUGUCAUGGUCUGCGGCAAGUAGGAAUGACUUCACCCUGCAGCUACCCAAACUGCACCUGGAGACCUUUGCAAUGGAGGCGCUCAAGGGCAGGCCAGAGGUGGUAGCAUGCCAGGCUAUGAUUAAAAGUUUCAUGGAUGUCUACCAGCUUGCAAGCACUAGAAUCAUGACAUUAGAGAAGGAAAUGACAUCUCAUCGAAGUCACAUUGCAGCCUUGAAAUCAGAACUUCACACAGCUUGUUUACGUGAAAAUGCAAGUUUACAAUCAAUAGGAUCACGAGACCAUUCAAAUCUCUCCAUUCCUUCAAGAGCUCCUCUUCCUGCUGACACAACUGGUAUGGGGGAUUUCUUACCAUUGAAAGCUGAACUUGAUACUACUUACACUUUCUUAAAGG
Molecule: small RNA, 498 nt
Filed under: Pan troglodytes (chimpanzee)
Lineage: Eukaryota; Metazoa; Chordata; Mammalia; Primates; Hominidae
Description: processed transcript
Source: RNAcentral